AGUUGCUGGUCGCGGGGUGUUGCUGCAGAUCGUCUCAAAGAGGAUACGAUGUGAGGUCAACUUCCCACGAUUAUGAAUCGUUUAUGUUGAUGAAGGCCUUGCGAAAACAUAUUGUACUUCGUUUAGGGUCUGGCGGCCACUAUGGAAAGAGUUCUGUCUUGCAGCAGCGACAAUAUUUCUGUCCUCCCUUAGCUGAGAUCCACUACCAGGCCUCCUAUUGGCACUUUCAGUCUCUUGGAAUAUGGCCAAAGCCCGGGAAACCACGCUGUGAGAAACGCCAACUAGCUCUGCGAUAUCCACUUGCCGGUGACCUCGAUGACUCAUUCUCACAAUAAUAUUGAGAACUUCUGAUAAGAUUACGUCUUUCCUUGGUUAAAGAGAAUACAACUGGAUUAAAAUAGAAAAAAGACGAGAAAAGGUGUUUGUUUAGUAAAUGAGAAAUCUUCGUGUUUACUACUCUUAAGUAAAUCCGUUUUUAAAAAUAUCAUAGUCUAGCUUCACCCCCUCAAUUCAACCCAAGACCAACCAGCACCCGAGGCCCCAGACAGUCGUUGCCACAACCGAGCCCUGCCACGCCGCCAACAUGGGGUGCCAGCAUUGUUAACAAAAAUUUAUGGAUUGGAGGUUGUUGCGGAUUUGGUGGAAGUAUAAAAAAUAACAUUUAAAAAAUUCAGCAGUAAAACUGGAAAUGAUGAAGGCUGAAAUG
This is a long non-coding RNA of Cimex lectularius (bed bug), 706 nucleotides long. RefSeq lists it as uncharacterized. The record is from RefSeq and is a predicted model, not a curated record. The transcript has 3 exons. Lineage: Eukaryota; Metazoa; Arthropoda; Insecta; Hemiptera; Cimicidae.